Molecule: ribosomal RNA, 1429 nt
Filed under: Codonellopsis orthoceras
Lineage: Eukaryota; Ciliophora; Spirotrichea; Tintinnida; Codonellopsidae
Description: partial 18S ribosomal RNA
Rfam family: Eukaryotic small subunit ribosomal RNA
Source: RNAcentral
CUUAAUCGGAUCGCAUGGGCUUGUCCCGCGACAAACCAUUCAAGUUUCUGCCCCAUCAUGCUUUCGAUGGUAGUGUAUUGGACUACCAUGGCUUUCACGGGUAACGGAGGAUUAGGGUUCGAUUCCGGAGAGGGAGCCUGAGAAACGGCUACCACUUCCACGGAAGGCAGCAGGCGCGUAAAUUACCCAAUCCUGACUCAGGGAGGUAGUGACAAGAAAUAAUGGGUCGGGGUUCUGCCCCGGGACCGCAAUGAGACGAAUUUAGACCCCUUAUCGAGGACCAAUUGGAGGGCAAGUCUGGUGCCAGCAGCCGCGGUAAUUCCAGCUCCAAUAGCGUAUAUUAAAGUUGUUGCAGUUAAAAAGCUCGUAGUUGGAUUUCUGGUAGUGGGCAAGAGCUCGUUGCACGUUGCUCGCGUUCAUUGCCAUCCUUCUGUUAACCUAUCAGGGCAUUCUAUUGUCAGUUAGGGGCUCAGAUAUUUUACCUUGAGAAAAUUAGAGUGUUUCAGGCAGGCUUGUGCCCGGAUACAUUAGCAUGGAAUAAUGGAAUAGGACUUUAGCCUCUUCUGUUGGUCUGAGGGGUUGAAGUAAUGAUUAAUAGGGAUAGUUGGGGGCAUUAGUACUUAACUGUCAGAGGUGAAAUUCUCGGAUUUGUUAAAGACUAACUUAUGCGAAAGCAUUUGCCAAGGAUGUUUUCAUUAAUCAAGAACGAAAGUUAGGGGAUCAAAGACGAUCAGAUACCGUCCUAGUCUUAACCAUAAACUAUGCCGACUCGGGAUCGGGGGCCAGAGUUAACUGCCUUCGGCACCGUAUGAGAAAUCAAAGUCUUUGGGUUCUGGGGGGAGUAUGGUCGCAAGGCUGAAACUUAAAGGAAUUGACGGAAGGGCACCACCAGGCGUGGAGCUUGCGGCUCAAUUUGACUCAACACGGGGAAACUUACCAGGUCCAGACAUAGUGAGGAUUGACAGAUUGAUAGCUCUUUCUUGAUUCUGUGGGUGGUGGUGCAUGGCCGUUCUUAGUUGGUGGAGUGAUUUGUCUGGUUAAUUCCGUUAACGAACGAGACCUUAGCCUACUAAAUAGUCGCAACAAUUACGAUUGGCUGCGUCUUCUUAGAGGGACUUUGCAAGCAACUGCAAGGAAGUUUGAGGCAAUAACAGGUCUGUGAUGCCCUUAGAUGUCCUGGGCCGCACGCGUGCUACACUGACGCAUACAGCGAGUAUCACCAGCUCCGUGAGGCUGCUGGUAAUCAGCAAUAUGCGUCGUGCUGGGGAUAGAUCUUUGGAAUUUUUGAUCUUGAACGAGGAAUGCCUAGUAAGCGCAGGUCAUCAGCCUGCGUUGAUUAAGUCCCUGCCCUUUGUACACACCGCCCGUCGCUCCUACCGAUUUCGAGUGGUCCGGUGAACCCUUUGGACCGAGAGCGCCUCGUGAGCUU